UUGAGGCAAGGUUCGGUGAGCUGGGCCAUUGUAGCAGCAUUAGUAGAAGUUGAGUUUUUUCCUUCCGCUUAUGUCACACUUAACGCAUUGUAGGAAUUGCAACAGUUUUGUUUUCUUUCCGAUUAGACUCUUGUCUGUGUUCUGUUCGCCACUCGGCAUGCCCAAGCAUGUAUCUUCUUCGAAGCAGUCGUCAUGUUGUGUGGAGUGUAAAGAGAGAAGUAGCAAUUCCUAUUGUUGCUUUUGUGUUAGGAUUUUCUUGAUGGACGGAAGGAGCUGUGUUGACAAAGUGAGUGCAUGUUGUGUGUAUUAGUGUGUGUGUGAGAGAGAGAGAGAGAGAGAGAGAGAGAGGUGAUGGAGCUAACAUAAAAGAGCAUUUUUUAGUUGAGAAUAUAAAUGAAAUUCUAGCCAGUGCUAUUGAUUGACAAGCACUCUAUAGAUCUGAGAAGCUGGACGUGAGGUUUGGGAGUUGCUGCAUUGACGCCACAUGGGUGUUGAUGAGGACUUGUUUGUCUAUUGGAACACACUUCAGUUGCAAUUCUUUGUUCAUUUUCAAGAUUGGUUGUGGUUUUUGCGAAGAAAAAAAUAUAUAAAUGUUGCUUGAGCGGGUGAUCCAGUGCAACUUAAGUCCAAUAUUGUUGGCCUAUUCGAACCAGAAGCUACGCAUAUCUCAACAAUUCUAGGUUUUUUUAUUCAAUCGUGUUCCUUGGUCUACCACAACUUUGAGGCUGCGAUUGACGAGGCUCGAGUAAUAACGUAGGUAGUAUCUAGUGCAAAAGUAGAGGAGGUACUAUUAGUGGCUGUAUUGCCAUACCAAAAGGUCUUGUGAUCUGAGUACAGAUAUUCAAACGAUUGUACAAGCAAAAGCAAGAUACAGGGAAUUCCUAACCACACUAACUACUAGAUAUGCAAAUCCAGCUCCAUUCAAGCAGUGUCAUCCACUCGGUACUUCGUGUAAUUUGGUGGCGUUUCGAUCUAAAGGCUUGUAAUUACUGCCAUUAUGGAUCUUCUUCGAACUGUCAUCCACUUCCAGGGGCAUCCAGGGGGCAAUUCAGCAAGGGUGUUGGUAUGAUUCUUCGACAAGGUUGACUACGAUUUCUGCAAGGAAAGGAUAAGAGUACAUUGCUCGGUCGGUCAUCAUCAUAGUAGAGGACCUUCUUCAAACUGCCAUCCACUUCCAAUGGAUGAUCUCCCCGGAUUGGAUGAUCAGUUAGACAAAUGGAUUAGGAUAACCUAAUUGAAUUGAGAUGAUAAAUUUAACUAUGAAUGAAUUUUAAUCAUGGAUGAAGU
RNAcentral lists this long non-coding RNA (1287 nucleotides) under Physcomitrium patens. RNAcentral's name for it is "long non-coding RNA (PPAT_LNC011953)". The record is from RNAcentral. Lineage: Eukaryota; Viridiplantae; Streptophyta; Bryopsida; Funariales; Funariaceae.